Molecule: ribosomal RNA, 301 nt
Filed under: uncultured bacterium
Lineage: Bacteria
Description: partial 16S ribosomal RNA
Rfam family: Bacterial small subunit ribosomal RNA
Source: RNAcentral
CAGUAGCCGCGGUAAAACAGAGGGUGCGAGCGUUAAUCGGAUUUACUGGGCGUAAAGCGUGCGUAGGCGGCUUUUUAAGUCGGAUGUGAAAUCCCUGAGCUUAACUUAGGAAUUGCAUUCGAUACUGGGAAGCUAGAGUAUGGGAGAGGAUGGUAGAAUUCCAGGUGUAGCGGUGAAAUGCGUAGAGAUCUGGAGGAAUACCGAUGGCGAAGGCAGCCAUCUGGCCUAAUACUGACGCUGAGGUACGAAAGCAUGGGGAGCAAACAGGAUUAGAUACCCCCGUAGUCCCUGUCUCUUAUCC